UAGCUAAAGAUGGAGCUCACGGAGGGUCAUGUAUUCCAAGGUUGGCAUGAAGGAGCUAUAGAGUUUCCACCUACCUACAAGUACCACCCUAAUUCUGAAGAUUACAUUGGGUGUGAUCAGAAACAAUUGACCAAAAAGAAGCGUGCUCCAGCAUGGUGUGAUCGAAUACUAUGGUUUGGAGAGGGAAUGAAGCAAAGUAAAUACAGCAGGAGUGAAUCAAAACUCUCUGAUCAUAGGCCUGUUAAGGCAUUGUUCAAAGUUGAGAUCAAGGUGGCCGAAAACUCUACUUGAUUCAAAGAUUUACAAGGGCAAUUUCGUCCAAGAGAUUUUGACGUCUCAUUGUUUAACAUUCUUGAAUUAUGUUUUUAGAAUUCUAGGAAGGUAUUCAUGUGAAGGCUCAAUUCUUUGUGAGACGUAUUUAAUUUGCCAAUAAAAAAAGUUUUUCUUUUCUUAGAGAAAUUUGUACAAGUAGAUGUCAGAAUUAUUUUGACAAAAUACAUGAGUAGUUGAUGAGUCAUGAAUGUGAUAGUGUUGCAUAAACACUAAUGAAAGAAAAUGCCAAUUGUCAAACUUGUA
Arachis ipaensis is the source of this 576-nucleotide non-coding RNA. NCBI's taxonomy places the organism in Eukaryota, Viridiplantae, Streptophyta, Magnoliopsida, Fabales, Fabaceae. The record is from RefSeq and is a predicted model, not a curated record.